GACGAACGCUGGCGGCGUGCUUAACACAUGCAAGUCGAACGGAAAGGCCCUGCUUUUGUGGGGUGCUCGAGUGGCGAACGGGUGAGUAACACGUGAGUAACCUGCCCUUGACUUUGGGAUAACUUCAGGAAACGGGGGCUAAUACCGGAUAGGAGCUCCUGCUGCAUGGUGGGGGUUGGAAAGUUUCGGCGGUUGGGGAUGGACUCGCGGCUUAUCAGCUUGUUGGUGGGGUAGUGGCUUACCAAGGCUUUGACGGGUAGCCGGCCUGAGAGGGUGACCGGCCACAUUGGUACUGAGAUACGGCGCAGACUCCUACGGGAGGCAGCGGUGGGGAGUAUUGCACAAUGGGCGGAAGCCUGAUGCAGCAACGCCGCGUGCGGGAUGACGGCCUUCGGGUUGUAAACCGCUUUCGCCUGUGACGAAGCGUGAGUGACGGUAAUGGGUAAAGAAGCACCGGCUAACUACGUG
RNAcentral lists this ribosomal RNA (468 nucleotides) under uncultured bacterium. RNAcentral's name for it is "partial 16S ribosomal RNA". It matches the Rfam family "Bacterial small subunit ribosomal RNA", at positions 28 to 507 of the family's 1533-position model. The record is from RNAcentral.